Molecule: long non-coding RNA, 868 nt
Filed under: Homo sapiens (human)
Lineage: Eukaryota; Metazoa; Chordata; Mammalia; Primates; Hominidae
Description: HSALNT0168103
Source: RNAcentral
AAAAGAAAGACAGAGUCCUGGGCUCCAAGAUGAUGGCACAAUCAGGAACUGGCCCAGAGUAAUCCAUUACCCUUCUCUCCAAGGCUUCCUUCCUCUGCUUCCUAGGCUUUGUCACAAUUUCCUCCAUUUAACCCGUGGGGGGAUGGAACACCUGUUUACCCAUCUGAAAUGCAGGAUGAUAGGAGAUCACCUGCCCUCUGCUCCUCCCUCCUUCCCUGUCAGGACUGAGUCAAUACCGAUGUUCAACUUCUGGUGAUUAGAAGUCAGGAUGUUCAGGUGGUGGGAGGUUAGGUGAGGGACACGUGAUUGUCAUGACGGGCAUUUGGGAUGAAAGUCAGAACCAUAAACACAUAUUCAUUAUGACUCUCCUUCUGCCGGGUCUUUCAUCUGGGGAAUCUCAAAGCCCUGGACAAAUGGUAAUUAAUUUUCACAACAGCUUCCACAAGAGGAUGCAGUGGUGUCUGCCAAAGGCCAGGGGGUAUUUUCCCAGUAUUCUUCCCUCAACCUUUCCUGCUCACUCCCAGCCCCUGCCAGCCCCAAGGUGACGAUGCAGGAGUGGGAGCAUUUCCUGCCUCCACUGGCAGGCUGGGACCAGACAACAAGUUAGUUGACUCAGGAGGAACCACAUGGCUCCAAAAAUACAUCUGCCUCUGCCCGGUUCCAUCUCAUGCUCCCUUCGCCCUUUAGAUAUAGUCACUUGCUCCUUCCCCCAAUCCCACCCCUGGGGAGCCACUUGAAGUCAUUUUUGCCCUUAAUUCUGAUUAUAAAAGAACUAUAAGUGCAUCAUAGGAAACCUAGAGAAUGUAGAAAAAUACAAACAAGCAUUUGAAUAAUCCUAUAAUUCCACUACUCCCAAAAUAACCACUGC